GCGUGGCACCAGCGGCCGUUGAAAAAUGGCGACUGUUACUGAGCUGAAAGCUGUUUUAAAGGACACCUUGGAAAAAAGGGGAGUGUUAAGACAUUUAAAAGCAAGGAUCCGUGCUGAAGUUUUCAAUGCUCUGGAUGAUGAUCGUGAACCCCGACCAUUGUUGUCUCAUGAGAACCUUCUAAUUAAUGAAUUAAUUAGGGAGUAUUUGGAAUUCAACAAAUAUAAAUACACAGCCUCUGUCCUCAUAGCAGAAUCUGGUCAACCUGUAGUUCCAUUGGACAGACAGUUUCUCAUCCGUGAACUAAAUGCCUUUGAAGAAUCAAAGGAUAACUCAAUCCCAUUUCUUGCGUGGUCCUCCAGACGGAGCCCAGAAUGUGCUUCUGACAGAAUCAACACUGCACCCUGCAAACAAGCAUGUCAGCUGGAAGCCCAGCAGAAGACCAGAUGAUGACCACCUGAAGAAGGACACAGGGCCAAGAACCAUGACUGAAGAGCUUCAUGCUGCUGCACAGGCAGUCAUUAGAUGAUGUGUACACCAGGCUCUUCACCUCGGCUGUGUGUGGAGUAACUAACUUAUUCCCAGUGCCAUCAAUUAGACCACCACUGUCUGUAAAUGUUUGAAUGUCUACAAACAUUCAGCCACUCGUGGUUUACUGCAUCUGUAGAAUACUGAUCUGUCAUCUAGUUUGCUGGAUGCCACUGGGGGAAAUUUAUUGUUUUCAGGAUGUAUUUUUAAAGUUCUCAUUUGUGAAAUCUGAAAGGUCUUUUUAGUACUUUGCAUAGUUUGUUUUUUUUAAGGCCAGCUCUAAGUGCUGUUGACGUGCCACUGGUAAAGCACUCACCUCCCAUGUGCAAGGGCCUGGGUUCAGUCCUAGCACCGGAAAAAGAAAACACAAGAACAGCUCUUUGUCCAUAUGCUCUAAUCAUUAAACUUUUUCUAGCUAGAAUUAUAUGGACCUAUAGGGAAAGUCAUUCAUGUUUUGAAAAAAUAUUUAAAGGGGCAUUAAAACCAGAACUUAAUUCCUAUAAAGUUUGAUUUUUUUUUUUAAAUCUGAAUUACUGUCUGCCCUGGCUAGUUUUAUGUCAACUUGAUACAAGCUAGAUUCAUUUGGGAAGAGGGACUCUAAAUUGAGAAAAUCGCUCCAUCAGAUUGGCUUAUGGGCAAACCUAUAGUAUAUUUUUUUUUAAAUUAAUGAUCAAUGUGGAAGGGUCCAGCCCACUGUGGGUGGUGUCACCCUUGGGGAGGCAAUCCUGGGUUCAGUAAGAAAGACUGAGCAAGCCGUGGGGAGCAAAUCAAUACAUAGCACUCCUCUGUGACCCCAGCAUUAGCUUCUGCCCUGUUUUCUCUCAGUGAUGAACUGUGAUGUUGAACUGUAAGCUGAAAUAAACCCUCUCCUUCCCAAGU
Molecule: long non-coding RNA, 1405 nt
Filed under: Rattus norvegicus (Norway rat)
Lineage: Eukaryota; Metazoa; Chordata; Mammalia; Rodentia; Muridae
Description: long non-coding RNA NONRATT004036
Source: RNAcentral